AUGCCCUGGCUUUGGGGGACGUUGCCAACAAAAAAAGAAGCUGGCCAUGCGGCCCAGCAUGCUGUAUUUAGUGAAGGCCUGAGGAGGGAAAGGCAGGAACAGUCCCGUUGGAGGCCAAGUGCGGUGCAGCAGCUCAAGAAGGCAGCUCCGCGCGCUGGUGCCCGCCGCCUCCUGGGAAAGGCACUGUCCACAGCUCGACGGUCUGGCCUCACAGUCCAGGGACUACAUUUCCCAGAGAGCCUUGCGGACAGAGCCGGUCUUGCGCACUUUUCACUUCCGGACGCGGAAGGUUGUCGUGGAAACGCAGACGCUGCCGCGACCUCUUUCUUACCUUCUUGCGCGUGAGCAUGCACUAUGGUAAGGAGGGGGGGUGGGGGUGGCGACAAGGAACGGGAAGUAAUCCUUGGGCAACCGGAGGCUCCCGGGUCAGGGUCCCAGGGGUAGUUGCUUUUGGUUCCUGCGUGGCGUUGUUCCGCGCUGGCCCGCGUGGCUCCCGGAGGCGGUGAGUCCGGGCGCAACGCGGCAGAGGCGUCGGAAAUGCCGGGGGUAGGGUGUGCUGCUGGCCAGAGGACGGCAGGAGAGGUGGGGCGGAGCAGCAGCGCCUCUUUCGGCCGAGCCCGGACGAAUUCGCGGGGAACGUGGCGCGGGUGCUGCUGGGCCUUGGAGUCCGCGGGACUCUGGCCAUGCCUCCGGGGGUGUGGCCACGGACCCGCACUGGUCCCUUCCGCGGUGGGGUUUCUGCGCCUGUCUCUGGCGGUUCCCAGUUCUGUGCGGACUCGCCGUCUUUUCCACCCAGCUCCCCUAAACCAUUCUCACUUGCCCUGGGAAGUCUUUGAGGAUUUCCGCAGCUGAGGCCUCCUCUUUGCCCGCUCUGUACCUUCGCUCUCCUCUCCCGAAAGUGAGAGUAUGGACGCACCCGGGGAUAAAAUCAGAUCCUUAACCCUUCCAAAGGCUCUGCAAGAUCGCCCUGGCCACACAGCCUUCGCAUUUGCCGAUUCCGCUGCCUAGACUGCCCUCCCCUCUAAGUAUCAUCUCAGAGCACCUGGGGGUGAGAAGCCCAGCGGUGGGGGCUGUUCGAUGGGGCAACCUGGUUCUGGAGAGCCCUGACCAACCCUUUGAAGACAUGCUUUGGCGUUGAAAACGCAAUGAUAGCAAAUGAAAACGCCAUUGGAGGAAAAAAAUUCAGCAGUAUGCAGACCUUACAAAAGAAAAAGGAGACGUCCUCCACCUCCAGUUCUUUUCCCCAGAAUUGCCAGCCUAGGGGUUGGUGGUUUUCAAGAUCCUCUUCUGAACAUUUGUAGCAGUGGCCCUUUUUUGUCGUUUAAGUUUUUUUUUAUUUUAGUAUUUUUUUAUUACUCAAAUGAAUUUAUCACAUCUGUAGUUGUAUAAUGAUCAUAACAAUCCAGUUUCACAGGAUUUCCAUCCCACAGCCCAAGCACAUCCCCCCACCCCCAAACUGUCUCCUCCAGAGACCAUAAGUUUUUCAAUGUCUGUGAGUCAGCAGCUGUUCUGCAAAGAAGUUCCGUCUGUCCUUUUUUCAGAUUCCACAUGUCAGUGAAAGCGUUUGAUGUUGGUGUCUCAUUGUAUGGCUGGCUUCGCUUAGCAUAAUUUCUAGGUCCAUCCAUGUUGCUAAAAAUGCUGGUAUUUCAUUCCUUUUAAUGGCGGAGUAAUAUUCCAUUGUGUCUGUGUACCACAUCUUCUUGAUCCACUCCUCUGUCGAUGGACAUUUAGGUUGCUUCCAUGUCUUGGCUAUUGAAAAUAGUGCUGCAGUGAACAUCGGAGUACAUGUGUCUUUGUGAGUUGUGGUUUUCUCUGGAUAGAUGCCCAGGAGUGGGAUUGCUGGAUCAAAUGGUCGUUCUAUGUUUAGCUUUCUGAGGACUCUCCAUCCUGUUUUCCACAGUGGUUGCACCAAUUUACAAUCCCACCAACAGUGUACUAGGGUUCCUUUUUCUCCACACCCUCUCCAGCACUUAUUGUUUGUAGACUUUUGGAUGAUGGCCAUUCUGGCUGGUGUAAGGUGGUACCUCAUC
This 2030-nucleotide long non-coding RNA is filed under the name Sus scrofa (pig). RNAcentral's name for it is "lncRNA (ENSSSCG00005029851.1)". The record is from RNAcentral. Lineage: Eukaryota; Metazoa; Chordata; Mammalia; Artiodactyla; Suidae.